Molecule: long non-coding RNA, 279 nt
Organism: Thalassophryne amazonica
Lineage: Eukaryota; Metazoa; Chordata; Actinopteri; Batrachoidiformes; Batrachoididae
Exons: 3
Source: RefSeq, a predicted model, not a curated record
UUUGGAGCCAUGUAAAAAGGUAAUUACUUGGCAUGUUUACUUUGUAAUGGCUUGGUAAAACAGUUGCAUGUUCUUUCCUUCUUGUGUGGAGCUGUAAAAGUACAUUUUUAACAUAUUUAACAUCUCAUUAUAAUCGUUCAGACGAGCUGCGCUCUGAUGCAGUGCGCUGACGCAAUCACUCACAUUGUUCACUUCUUCUUUACUAGACUUGACAAGCUGCACGUAGUGGUGGCGAGUGGAUCGCGCAACGUUCACUACCACUUCACGUUUGUUGCAUAA